This 187-nucleotide ribosomal RNA is filed under the name uncultured rumen bacterium. Its description in RNAcentral is "partial 16S ribosomal RNA". It matches the Rfam family "Bacterial small subunit ribosomal RNA", at positions 340 to 524 of the family's 1533-position model. The record is from RNAcentral.
UACGGGAGGCAGCAGUGAGGAAUAUUGGUCAAUGGGCGAGAGCCUGAACCAGCCAAGUAGCGUGAAGGAUGACUGCCCUAUGGGUUGUAAACUUCUUUUGUUUGGGAAUAAAGUGGGUCACGUGUGGCCUUUUGUAUGUACCUUACGAAUAAGCAUCGGCUAAUUCCGUGCCAGCAGCCGCGGUAAU